UACGAAGGGGGCUAGCGUUGCUCGGAAUCACUGGGCGUAAAGCGCACGUAGGCGGCUCUUUAAGUCAGGGGUGAAAUCCUGGAGCUCAACUCCAGAACUGCCUUUGAUACUGAGGAGCUCGAGUCCGGAAGAGGUGAGUGGAACUGCGAGUGUAGAGGUGAAAUUCGUAGAUAUUCGCAAGAACACCAGUGGCGAAGGCGGCUCACUGGUCCGGUACUGACGCUGAGGUGCGAAAGCGUGGGGAGCAAACAGG
Molecule: ribosomal RNA, 253 nt
Filed under: uncultured bacterium
Lineage: Bacteria
Description: partial 16S ribosomal RNA
Rfam family: Bacterial small subunit ribosomal RNA
Source: RNAcentral